GACGAACGCUGGCGGCGUGCCUAAUACAUGCCAGUAGAACGCACAGUUUAUACCGUAGCUUGCUCCACCAUAGACUGUGAGUUGCGAACGGGUGAGUAACGCGUAGGUAACCUGCCUGGUAGCGGGGGAUAACUAUUGGAAACGAUAGCUAAUACCGCAUAAUAUUAAUUAUUGCAUGAUAAUUAAUUGAAAGGUGCAAUUGCACCACUACCAGAUGGACCUGCGUUGUAUUAGCUAGUAGGUGAGGUAACGGCUCACCUAGGCGACGAUACAUAGCCGACCUGAGAGGGUGAUCGGCCACACUGGGACUGAGACACGGCCCAGACUCCUACGGGAGGCAGCAGUAGGGAAUCUUCGGCAAUGGACGAAAGUCUGACCGAGCAACGCCGCGUGAGUGAAGAAGGGUUUCGGAUCGUAAAGCUCUGUUGUAAGAGAAGAACGGGUGUGAGAGUGGAAAGUUCACACUGUGACGGUAUCUUACCAGAAAGGGACGGCUAACUACGUG
Molecule: ribosomal RNA, 505 nt
Filed under: uncultured bacterium
Lineage: Bacteria
Description: partial 16S ribosomal RNA
Rfam family: Bacterial small subunit ribosomal RNA
Source: RNAcentral